Molecule: ribosomal RNA, 432 nt
Filed under: uncultured bacterium
Lineage: Bacteria
Description: partial 16S ribosomal RNA
Rfam family: Bacterial small subunit ribosomal RNA
Source: RNAcentral
AACGAACGCUGGCGGCAUGCCUAACACAUGCAAGUCGAACGAGACCUUCGGGUCUAGUGGCGCACGGGUGCGUAACGCGUGGGAACCUGCCCUUAGGUUCGGAAUAACUCCCCGAAAGGGGUGCUAAUACCGGAUAAUGUCUUCGGACCAAAGAUUUAUCGCCUUUGGAUGGGCCCGCGUUGGAUUAGCUAGUUGGUAGGGUAAAAGCCUACCAAGGCGACGAUCCAUAGCUGGUCUGAGAGGAUGAUCAGCCACACUGGGACUGAGACACGGCCCAGACUCCUACGGGGGGCAGCAGGGGGGAAUAUUGGACAAGGGGCGAAAGCCUGACCCACCAAGGCCGCGUGAGUGAUGAAGGCUUUAGGGUUGAAAAGCUCUUUUACCCGGGAUGAUAAUAACAGUCCCGGGAGAAAAAGCCCCGCCUACCCCCGU